AUCUAAUUGAUGAGUUCUAAAUAGGACGAAACACGCGUUCUGGAU
This 45-nucleotide non-coding RNA is filed under the name Schistosoma mattheei. The record is from RNAcentral. Lineage: Eukaryota; Metazoa; Platyhelminthes; Trematoda; Strigeidida; Schistosomatidae.